This 642-nucleotide ribosomal RNA is filed under the name Paratrichocladius rufiventris. RNAcentral describes it as "eukaryotic LSU rRNA". It matches the Rfam family "Eukaryotic large subunit ribosomal RNA", at positions 431 to 951 of the family's 3401-position model. The record is from RNAcentral. Lineage: Eukaryota; Metazoa; Arthropoda; Insecta; Diptera; Chironomidae.
AAUAUCUAAACGGUGAGNUUNNAUAUUNUUGGCAACAAUAAUGUGCACUUCUNAUUUAGUAAGACGUUGUGAUCCAUUAGAAAUUGAUUGUAUCAACAAUUAUGAGGUUAUCAAUAGGCUGAUGUAAAGUUCAUCAAUAUAAAUGACUUGAUCUUUAAUGGUUGGGUGUAUUAUAUGGUGAGUAUAUCAUGUUCUGCUUAUAACUGUCUGAUGGAUUUUAAAGGCUAUAAAUAUUGAUGUUCGCAUCACCCUUUCAGAGGGAAUGAUUAUGUGCCCGAUCAACAACGGUUAAAUUUGGGAUACCUUUUGGACCCGUCUUGAAACACGGACCAAGGAGUCUAUCUAUUGCGCGAGUAAAUGGGUAUAUGAAACCUAUUUGCGUAAAAAACUUGACUGUUAUGGGAUUACGAGUAUCUAUUCAACGGUACUUCUCCAUCCCGGGGUAUUUUUAUCAACACAUAUAGCAAUGUAUGUGGAAAAUAUACCAUGAGCGUAGUGGAUAUGACCCGAAAGAUGGUGAACUAUGCCUGAUCAGGUUGAAGUCAGGGGAAACCCUGAUGGAGGACCGAAGCAAUUCUGACGUGCAAAUCGAUUGUCAGAAUUGGGCAUAGGGGCGAAAGACCNAUCGAACCAUCUAGUAGC